RNAcentral lists this ribosomal RNA (440 nucleotides) under uncultured bacterium. Its description in RNAcentral is "bacterial SSU rRNA". It matches the Rfam family "Bacterial small subunit ribosomal RNA", at positions 338 to 776 of the family's 1533-position model. The record is from RNAcentral.
CCUACGGGUGGCAGCAGUGGGGAAUAUUGGACAAUGGGGGGAACCCUGAUCCAGCGAUGCCGCGUGUGUGAAGAAGGCCUGCGGGUUGUAAAGCACUUUAGUUGGGGAGGAAAGUUGGGGUAGUAGACCAAUGUGACGUUACCCAAAGAAUAAGCACCGGCAAACUCUGUGCCAGCAGCCGCGGUAAUACAGAGGGUGCGAGCGUUAAUCGGAAUUAUUGGGCGUAAAGGGCGCGUAGGUGGAUAUUUAAGUUGGAUGUGAAAGACUGGAGCUUAACUUCGGGCUGUCAUUCGAUACUGGAUAUCUAGAGUACAGUAGAGGGUAGUGGAAUUUCCAGUGUAGCGGUGAAAUGCGUAGAGAUUGGAAAGAACACCGGUGGCGAAGGCGGCUACCUGGACUGAUACUGACACUGAGGCGCGAAAGCGUGGGUAGCGAACAGG